Molecule: long non-coding RNA, 2895 nt
Filed under: Homo sapiens (human)
Lineage: Eukaryota; Metazoa; Chordata; Mammalia; Primates; Hominidae
Description: non-protein coding lnc-MTUS2-5:1
Source: RNAcentral
AGCAAAGCUUCCUUAGCCCAAGACUAAGGCAGAGCUCCCCAGCUGACCUGCAGAUAAUUGAGUGAACCAAGCCAAGAUCAGCAGAGCCACCUAGCUUAGCCCAGCCCAACCUCGAUCCACCAAAUUCCAGACAACUCACAGAUACGUAAGUUAUAAAAAUAAAUGGUCACCAUUUACAAGUCAUUAACUUUGGGGAGGCUCAUGAUGCAGUAUUUUUGUGGCAAUGGCAAAUACAUUAAGUUGUGUCACUUGUUUUCUCUUGUCAUCUGCCAGAUCUCUCUGUUUGAAAAGUUCUUUUCACAUUUUGUAAUUUAUAAGUAAUAUGUAGGAUGAUACUUCUAGACUGUGUAUAUUCAUUCACAUUUUAUUCAAUUAUUUCAGCAGCUAUUCAUGAUCCUUAUCUGAAUUAUUACAUUGAGAAUUGCAAACUGCUGAUUUUUCUAUUAUUCCUUCUGUAUUAAUCAGCUAAGUGUGCUUUUGUAAAGAGCAUUUCCUUGCCCACUUUUUAUUGUAGUACAAGUAAAAGCUCAUGGGUUCUCUUUUAUUCAAUAAGCUGUAAUCCGUUACUAUAAUCCAUUGUUAUUAAUCCAUUAUUAUUCUUUUUGAUGCUCAAAUUGUGUCAAGUUUGGCCAGUGGGAGCUCCUUCAAGUCAGCUUUUGGGUCCUUUCCACAUGUUCCCUUUAGUCUUUAAGCACUUUCUGCCUUUUGGCAAUGUGAGAUACCCUCUGUUGCGGGAUUUAAUUUGCUAGUCUUUUGUUCAGGACUUUUGUAUUGGUGUUCAUGAGAGAAGCUGAUCUGUAGUUUUCUUGUAAUGUCCUUGUCAUGUUUUUGUAUCAAAGAAUUGGCCUCACAAAAUGAAUUGGGUAGUGGUUCCUUCCUCCUCUAUUUUCAUAGAAGAACUUGUGUAGAAUUGGUAUUAUCUCCUCCUUACAUAUUUGGUAGAAUUCAUCAGGGAAGUCACCUAGGACUGGGGUGGCUUUUGUAGAAGGGCCUUGUCCUUCAAAUGCUUUCUCUUUGUAGUCUUCAUUUGAUAUUAAGGAUUCAGCCGCUGCUCCGUUUUUGCUUAUAUUUGCACAGUAAAUUUUGUCUGUCAUUUUCCUUUUAACCUUUCCCAGUCGCUUGGUCUAAUAAUGUCCAUUUUGGGCAGUAUAUGGUUGAAUUUUACUUUUUGCAGGUUAUAACUUCUUGUGUUCUCUGGGACUUUGGCUUCUCUGUCAUUGCCUGAGUUCUGUCUUGAAGUCUCAUCUAUGUUCUUCCCAGCCUUGUUAGUUCUUCUAAAUAUGCAUUCCCAGUUGGUGGUCUUUUCCUCUCUGUCCCUGACAGCCUCAAAUUACCAUUAGCUCCACCUGCACAUGGCCCCACUGUUACUAGCUUAUUCAAAAUUAAUCUCAGAGCCCAUAAUAGGGCCCAGCCCACAGGUAGGUGUUAAUAAAGAUUUAUUUAAUGAAUGGUGAUAACUAUGGCAUUAAUUAUGAUCAAGUUUAUUGGUUAAAAAAAAUAGAAAACCCAAAUAUCAGUGGCUUAAAAGGAUGACUUAUUCCUUCCUUAUAUGAGUCUUUAGGCCUCUAGGCAUUUUGUCCAGAGGUUGGUUCUAUAAAUCCUCAGAGACAUAGGCUCCUUCUAAAUUAUUAUUCUGCCAUCCCUAGAGUAUACAUACUUCUCAUCCUCAUAGUCUAAGAUGGCCCACAUCUGAGGCCACAGGAUGGAAGAAAGAAUGAAGAACCAGCAGAGGUCAUGUUCCAGGAGUCUGUUAGGGAAGGUUCCUGGAAUCUGUCACAUACACAGCACUUCGACUUAGGUAUCAUUAGCCAGAAUUUAGUCACAUGGCCACACUUUCUACGAGAGAAGCUGGAAUGUGUUGUCUUAGUCUGGAUAGCAAUGUGCCCAGCUUAAAUUGUAUUACUAGAGAAGAGGGGGAAAUGAUUUCCUGGGGAAUCCUUAGCAACUGGAGAAGACUAAAGACCUGAAGAGGUGUAGCAUAUUUGUGAAAACAACAUGAAGUGUGAUGGUGCGGGAUCAUAGCAUGAACGAGACAACAUGGUAGAUUCACUAAAAGGAUAGGGAGGGGCUAGACUUAGACAAUAAGGCUUAGACUUUGGAUAUUAUCCUGUGGACCUUUUUUAUUAGUCAAGGUCUUGAGGGAAAUAAAUGGCACUCUUGAAAGGGGUGAAAUGUGUUUAACGAAGGGACUAUUUGAAGAGUGGGCAGGAUUGAGAAAAAUGAACAAGGGAUGUGAAGUGCUCCAGGGCCAGCAAAAGCAGGAACUGCCAGGACUGCCAGGGCACAUGGACAAGCGGUUACUGGAACCCAACAGGUGUGGUUGUAGGAAAUGGGUCUCAGAUAAGAGCUGUGCCUUUGGGAAAGGAACAUUGUUACUGCAACAUAUACCCUGAAAGCAGAAAUGGUGACAUAACUUGCAGGGCCCAGUGCAAAAUGAAAACGAAGGCCCCUUGCUCAAAAAUUAGUCCGAGUUCCAAGAUGGCAACAGUAGGCGGUUAAACCAAGUGUGGAGCCUUUCUGAGCGUGGGGCCCUGUGCAACUGUACAGGCUGAGUGACCAUGAAGCUGGCUUGCCUGCCAGGGAAGAUGCUGGAGGAAAAACACCCUAAACGACUCUGUCUUCCAGCCCUCUGACUCUUGCCAAUGGCUCCCUUUGCCCAUACCCAAGUAGUAGUCAAAAUCGAGGAGCCUGAUUGAAGCCCUCCAUGAUGGUCAGGUGCCGGAGGGGAGUGAACAGUGCAUCUGGAGGAGCUGGGGAGAUCUAGCUCCACUAUGGAGGGCCAUUAGAAAUUUUUAAGCAGAAUGGCAUGUCCAAUUUAUUUUUAGAAAGAGCUUUUUGGCAGCAGUGUGGAGGAUGGACUGCAGAGCCUGGAGGCAGAAAGACCAAUUAGGAGGC